Molecule: ribosomal RNA, 492 nt
Filed under: uncultured bacterium
Lineage: Bacteria
Description: partial 16S ribosomal RNA
Rfam family: Bacterial small subunit ribosomal RNA
Source: RNAcentral
AGUGAACGCUGGCGGUAGGCCUAACACAUGCAAGUCGAACGGCAGCACAGUAAUAGCUUGCUCUUACGGGUGGCGAGUGGCGGACGGGGGAGGAAUACAUCGGAAUCUACUUUUUCGUGGGUGAGAACGUAGGGAAACUUACGCUAAUACCGCAUACGACCUACGGGUGAAAGCAGGGGAUCUUCGGACCUUGCGCGAUUGAAUGAGCCGAUGUCGGAUUAGCUAGUUGGCGGGGUAAAGGCCCACCAAGGCGACGAUCCGUAGCUGGUCUGAGAGGAUGAUCAGCCACACUGGAACUGAGACACGGUCCAGACUCCUACGGGAGGCAGCAGUGGGGAAUAUUGGACAAUGGGCGCAAGCCUGAUCCAGCCAUACCGCGUGGGUGAAGAAGGCCUUCGGGUUGUAAAGCCCUUUUGUUGGGAAAGAAAAGCAGCAGGUUAAUACCCCGCUGUUCUGACGUUACCAACAGAAUAAGCACCGGCUAACUUCGUG